CGUACACACGCACCGUGGCUAUCACAGCUAAGGCAUGCAACCACUCGGCUAAAAUUUAGCACGCGGCGUCCCUAACACAUUGCGGGUUAUCAGUAACGCACAGUUUGCGCAGCACUCCGUUGUUGAUCAUCUGUCGGAAGUCGACGUCGCCUGACCACGGGCUGUCGACUAAUUUCACAGCCUCGCCCACUCUUCGUCACCCAACGAACGUCCGUCCAAGAACGCUAAACAAUGGGAGAUUCGUCUAUGUUCGAGUCUGCUAUGUCAAGCAAUGUGGAAAGUACAGCGAUGUCGGGGAGAACGAGAACCGGAGCACAGUUGCGGCUAUUGUACUCUGCCUGAUGUUCCUGGGGAUAGCCGGCCUGGUGCUCUUCCUCCUCGUUGGAUCGAGUGAUUCCGAGGACGAACAAAAUGAGUUCGGCAACAUCGACGGUGGUGGCGUUGGCGGCGGUGGUGGUGGUGGCGGUAGCAGCCUCCCUCUUCCGGUACCAGUUCCUAUAGGAGCUAAAACACCAGCCUCGACGACCACGCCUCCAUCAGUAGUACCAGCAAGUGUACCGAGAGGACCGGUACCUCCAUCUGGGGCACCAGUUCCGCAACAAGGGGGACCAGCGCCGCCA
Dermacentor andersoni is the source of this 620-nucleotide long non-coding RNA. RefSeq lists it as uncharacterized. The record is from RefSeq and is a predicted model, not a curated record. NCBI's taxonomy places the organism in Eukaryota, Metazoa, Arthropoda, Arachnida, Ixodida, Ixodidae.